GACAGAGGCCUCAAGCGUUAGGCGGAAUCACUGGGCUUAAAGCGUGUGUAGGCGGAUCGUUAAGUGCCUUGUGAAAUCCCACGGCUUAACUGUGGAACGGCUGGGCAUACUGCCGGGCUAGAGGGUGGUAGAGGCGAGUGGAAUUCCCGGUGUAGCGGUGAAAUGCGCAGAUAUCGGGAGGAACACCAGUAGCGAAGGCGGACUCG
This 206-nucleotide ribosomal RNA is filed under the name uncultured bacterium. RNAcentral's name for it is "partial 16S ribosomal RNA". It matches the Rfam family "Bacterial small subunit ribosomal RNA", at positions 524 to 728 of the family's 1533-position model. The record is from RNAcentral.